Non-coding RNA from Fukomys damarensis (Damara mole-rat), 118 nucleotides. The record is from Rfam. NCBI's taxonomy places the organism in Eukaryota, Metazoa, Chordata, Mammalia, Rodentia, Bathyergidae.
GUCAAUGGCCCUACCACCCCGAGUGAGUCCAAUCUCAUUUGAUCUCAGAAGCUAAGCAAGGUUGGGACUGGUUAGUACUUGGAUGGGAGACCCAAUAUAGUCAAUAUGGCCAUACUUC